This 692-nucleotide long non-coding RNA is filed under the name Homo sapiens (human). RNAcentral's name for it is "non-protein coding MID1IP1-AS1:3". The record is from RNAcentral. Lineage: Eukaryota; Metazoa; Chordata; Mammalia; Primates; Hominidae.
AGAUGAGGAGGGCCGGGCACAGCGAGGGUCAAAAAGGCGUCGGCGUCCGGACCGACUGGAGGUGUUCUUCUAUCUUUUGGAGCUCUACAGAAGGCCAUGAAGCACACCAUCAGAUGUUUGAAGGAUAUUAUGAGAGACCUUGCUAAGUGCCUUGCUGAAGUCCCAAGCUAAUAGCCAGUUUUCUUCCUGUGGAGUCAAGAAGAAGGGCAUUUUUGUCAUAUACCACAAAGAAACCACCAUCACAUGAUACAAAAAUGCAGAAAUAGCAUCAUAAUAAUCUGAGUUAAGAUGGGGAAGGGAGUGUAUCUUAUUGUAAUUGUCCUUACAGGAAAAACCGUCAUGAAGGUUUAGUUGAGAGAAGGUAGACAGAAAAAUGCCAAAACCUAAGAACAGUGAGUAGUGAAUCUGCUGGCUUCAGAUCCACUUUCAGGUUUUGGAAUGUCUGAAUAUGUCGUAGUUAGCAUUUUGUCACAAUCUCAUUUUUUAAAGCGUCUUUAGCCUUGCGUUUGGAAGAAGUAGAGCACAGGGAAAGUUGAGAAUACUAAAGAAUACCUUUUGUUAUGUUCUCAUCAUUUCUACAUCUUUAAGAACUCUGAACCGUAUACAGAACUGUACAUUCAAUUUCAAUAUGGUAGAUGAGAAAAGGGCAAGACACAUCAUAGCUUUUCUUACCACAUAGAAACUUCUCAAGU